GAGGCUUUGUAGGGCGCCGGAAAAUGUUUUCAUUCUUUUUUUUUUUAAUUCGAAAAGUGCAUGGAGAGAUUCCAGAUGCCACUAAGGUGGAAUGGGAGAUUUAUAAGAAAAUCGCGAUUAUCUCGCUUCCUAUGCGUCCUAGCGCGGAAAUAAGGCUAGAUUCGUUUAUAACUGGGCGAGACGCAUCGAUUUCCCAUAACCUCCGAGAAGUCGAGUUGGGUCGGACAAAACAAUUGCAGGAGUCGAAUUGAACAUCCACUAUUGGGACAUCGGAUCGCAGUCAAUUACUUCAAUCACCAGUAAUUUCGGUUUUCACGACGGAUUCGCAGUUCUCCAGGUAGCAGAGAAAAAGAAUAUCAACGACGAUGGGAUGACUCGUGGAGAAAACA
Molecule: long non-coding RNA, 389 nt
Organism: Fopius arisanus
Lineage: Eukaryota; Metazoa; Arthropoda; Insecta; Hymenoptera; Braconidae
Exons: 3
Source: RefSeq, a predicted model, not a curated record